Long non-coding RNA from Carassius auratus (goldfish), 702 nucleotides. RefSeq lists it as uncharacterized. NCBI's taxonomy places the organism in Eukaryota, Metazoa, Chordata, Actinopteri, Cypriniformes, Cyprinidae. The record is from RefSeq and is a predicted model, not a curated record. The transcript has 2 exons.
GUUGGACAACAUCUCCAGGACACUUCGCUCCAUGUGACUAGGCAGUUUGUGAAGACAGAUAAUCAAGAGAAGUCAGUUCCAGAUCCACCCUCCACACCAGACCUCUCUCUCACAAGGAUUAAUGUCUACUAGCAUAUUGUGUUCUCUUCAGACUUCGGGGAAUGCAGAUAUUACUCGGGGACACGAACACAUGAAUAUUGCAAGAAUAGAGAAAGUAAGAUAUAUUAUAUAUAUAUUUAGAUAUAUUUUUGUGGCAGUGUGAACUGGCCAUAAUGCUGUAUGAUAGGUGUGAGAUUCAUUAAACUUGAUUUGGUAUAAUACAUCUGUUCAUAAGCUAUUGCAUAUUAUUUUCAAUGAAUUAUUUGUAGUGGUUUGGUUAAGGGUGUGAUUAGCUGAUGUAUUAUUGUGGGAGCUUGUGAUUAGUUGAUAAAUGUGUUUAUUGUUAAUGAUAAUAUUUAAAUGCAAUGUGCUGAGUGCUUACUAAGACUUGCAUGUUUGUGCAUAAUGUUUUGACCCCGGAUGCUUACAGAAGGGUAUAGAUAUUUAAAUAUAUGGAAAUGUAUUUAUUAUUAAUAUAUCUCAAUCUAUGUGCUUCUGUUUGGGCUGAAUGCUUUCAUUCAUAUGUCGCUGUAUAUCCUGUUUUUAUUAAUAAUCUGGGUGUAUUACUGUUCAUAUUUGCUUGUUAAUAAAUUAACUGAAUUC